AUAUAUAUAAAUAUAUAUAUAUAUAGAAAUAUAGAUAUAAAUAUAUCAAUAAAUAAUCCGGUAAUAAACAAAUCAUACGAGGGCAGAAAAGUAAUUUGGCCCUAACCCUAGGAAGCCCUAUAUAAGCAUCUCUAAACCUAACCCUCACAUUUUGGCCGCCCCUCCUUUCUUCUUCCAUUGCCUCUCUCUCUCUCUCUCUCUCUCUCUCUCUCUCUCUGCCUCUCUCCCUCUCGGGUCCUUCUCGUUUCAUCUUCCGUUGUCUCUCUCUCACAGCUUUCAUCUUCUUGUUUGAUUUAUGUUUGUAUUUUGUUCUUCUUUUAAUGUUUUACUUUCAGAUGAACAUUGUUUUUUACGGUCUUUCAUUUUUUUUUGUUUUUCCUUUUAGAUCUGAACAUAUUUGUUUUUGUUUGAUUUUUUUCGCCGUGUUUUGUUCUUGUUUUUGUCUCGUUUUAUCUUGUUCUUAUUGUCUCCGAUUUUGUUGUUUGAAAUUUCAAAUUUUCAGAUCUGUACAACAACUAUGGUCACCACAUCUACGGUCGUUGCCCCUCUCUCUCUCUCUCUCUCUCUCUCUCUCUCUCUCUCUCUCUCUCUCUCUCUCUCUCUCAGCUUUCAUGUUCUUAUUUGAUUUAUGUUUAUAUUUUCUUCUUCUUUUAAUAUUUUGCAGUUUCGUUCGCAGCACUCAUCUUUACAGUAUAAAUUAAUUUUUUUUUAACAUUUAGAUCUGUACAACAGAUUUGUUCAUGUUUUUACGGUUUUUCAAUUUUUUUUGUUUUUCCUCUUAGAUCUGAACAGAUUUGUUUUUGUUUUAUUUUCUUUCUCCUUUUUUGUUCUUGUUUUUGUCUCUUGUCUUAUCUUGUUCUUAUUGUUUCCGAUUUUGUUGUUUCAAGUUUGAAAUUUUUAGAUCCACUGGCUAUGGCCGCGCGCAGCAGGCCACGACCACCGCGGAAGGAAGAUUUUGUUUUUCCUGAUGGAUAUUUCUCGGUUUCUCGGAUGAAUCUAUUGUUUGUUGGGUGUCCCUCACAUCGCCGUUCACAUCCGCUGCAAAUGGCUACUCGUGGGAGCGCACGGCCACGCCGGAAGCACAACAACAAACCAGAAGAUGAAAUUUCAGAAGAUUGAAUUUGUAUAUGAAUCCUUAAAUUUCUUUGUUCGAUCUACUCUCUGUAAAUAAAGAUGUAAAUAUGCAAACACAAUUUUUAUCUUUC
This is a long non-coding RNA of Carya illinoinensis, 1205 nucleotides long. RefSeq lists it as uncharacterized. The record is from RefSeq and is a predicted model, not a curated record. The transcript is spliced from 3 exons. NCBI's taxonomy places the organism in Eukaryota, Viridiplantae, Streptophyta, Magnoliopsida, Fagales, Juglandaceae.